Molecule: long non-coding RNA, 507 nt
Organism: Mauremys mutica (yellowpond turtle)
Lineage: Eukaryota; Metazoa; Chordata; Testudines; Geoemydidae
Exons: 3
Source: RefSeq, a predicted model, not a curated record
AGUGCAAAAUUCCCUGUGCUGUCCCUAUCCAUGUCCUGAAGUCUGGCCUGGAAGGACCAGCCAUGCAGUCCUUGGCCUUGCUGUAGAGACCAUGGUAGAGGAAGCCCCUCAGUGGCGCUGUUUUGUGUGAUGGAGACACCUGCCCCAUCUGGAGGGGGACCUUUCUCACAGAGACCAGUGAAAUGCAGACAUGAGAGGGUUCCUGCCACAAUAAUCUGUCUCUGAAGGGGUAUGCAGCAAGGAGCAGAUUCCCAGCAAAGGAAGUUCUGCUCCCUCUCUCAUGGGGCUGGAAUCACUUCAUUUCCCAGUGCAUCCUCACUCAGACAUGUGCAUGAAUCUUAAUUCCUAGUUAAUCAGCAGGCUGCUUGGGCAAAGGAAGGAACUCACAUCAUGGGCUGAUGAGCCAAACUUCUCGUCGAGGACUGGAGGCCCUGACAGGCGUCCUAAUCACUAGUUUGGCUUUUGCCUGGAUGCGCUGCAAUGCUCCUCUCCAUGGAAGAGCCGCAU